GACGAACGCUGGCGGCGUGCUUAACACAUGCAAGUCGUACGGUAAGGCCCUUUCGGGGGUCCACGAGUGGCGCACGGGUGCGUAACACGUGCGUAACCUGCCCACAACUUUGGGAUAACGCUAGGAAACUGGUGCUAAUACUGGAUAUGUGCUCCUGCUGCAUGGUGGGGGUUGGAAAGCUCCGGCGGUUGUGGAUGGACUCGCGGCCUAUCAGCUUGUUGGUGGGGUAGUGGCCUACCAAGGCGGCGACGGGGAGCCGGCCUGAGAGGGUGACCGGCCACAUUGGGACUGAGAGGCGGCCCAGACACCUACGGGAGGCAGCAGUGGGGAAGAUUGCACAAGGGGCGCAAGCCGGAUGCAGCAACGCCGCGGGCGGGAUGACGGCGUUAGGGUUGAAGAACGCGUUUGGCAGGGACGAAGCUUGUUGUGACGGUACCUGCAGAAGAAGCACCGGCUAACUACGUG
This 465-nucleotide ribosomal RNA is filed under the name uncultured bacterium. RNAcentral's name for it is "partial 16S ribosomal RNA". It matches the Rfam family "Bacterial small subunit ribosomal RNA", at positions 28 to 507 of the family's 1533-position model. The record is from RNAcentral.